RNAcentral lists this ribosomal RNA (254 nucleotides) under uncultured bacterium. RNAcentral's name for it is "partial 16S ribosomal RNA". It matches the Rfam family "Bacterial small subunit ribosomal RNA", at positions 524 to 777 of the family's 1533-position model. The record is from RNAcentral.
UACAGGGGGGGCAAGCGUUGUUCGGAAUUACUGGGCGUAAAGGGCCAGUAGGCGGCCAACUAAGUCCGACGUGAAAUCCCCAGGCUUAACCUGGGAACUGCGUCGGAUACUGGAUGGCUUGAAUUCGGGAGAGGGAUGCAGAAUUCCAGGUGUAGCGGUGAAAUGCGUAGAUAUCUGGAGGAAUACCGGUGGCGAAGGCGGCAUCCUGGACCGAGAUUGACGCUGAGGCGCGAAAGCGUGGGGAGCAAACAGGG